UAAUACGGAGGGUCCAAGCGUUAAUCGGAAUUACUGGGCGUAAAGCGCGCGUAGAUGGUUUAUUCAGUUGGGUGUGAAAUCCCUGGGCUCAACCUAGGAACUGCAUUCAAAACUUAUAAACUAGAGUACGAAAGAGGAGAGUAGAAUUCAUGGUGUAGCGGUGAAAUGCGUAGAGAUCAUGAGGAAUACCAGUGGCGAAGGCGACUCUCUGGUUCGAGACUGACAUUGAGGUGCGAAAGCGUGGGUAGCAAACAGGAUUAGAUACCCUGGUAGUCCACGCCGUAAACGAUGAGAACUAGCCGUUGGAUCUUUAGAUUCAGUGGCGCAGCUAACGCAUUAAGUUCUCCGCCUGGGGAGUACGGCCGCAAGGCUA
RNAcentral lists this ribosomal RNA (373 nucleotides) under uncultured Gammaproteobacteria bacterium. Its description in RNAcentral is "bacterial SSU rRNA". It matches the Rfam family "Bacterial small subunit ribosomal RNA", at positions 521 to 896 of the family's 1533-position model. Lineage: Bacteria; Pseudomonadati; Pseudomonadota; Gammaproteobacteria. The record is from RNAcentral.